This 890-nucleotide long non-coding RNA is filed under the name Homo sapiens (human). RNAcentral's name for it is "HSALNT0287706". The record is from RNAcentral. Lineage: Eukaryota; Metazoa; Chordata; Mammalia; Primates; Hominidae.
GGGGCGACCCGCUCUGGGAGGGAGCCCCAGGCAUUCCCGAUUACGCUGCGACCUCUAAAGGCAAUGGGACAGAGGGUUAGACGUUAGCAGGGCUGGGUGCCCGGGGUUAGGGUUUUGGCCACGUUGCCGCUCAAGGUGCCCAGCCCUGGGGCCCCAGGGUUGAGUUUGACCGACCUGGACGCCAGGCUCUGUGCGGAGUUCCUCCUUUCGUUCAAGUAUUGACCGAGCGCCUAUUUCUAUUUUAUGUAUUUAUUUUCUGAGACUGAGUCUUGCUCUGUCACCCAGCCCGGAGUGCAGUGGCGCGAUCUCGGCUCACUGCAACCUCCGCCUCCCUGCAACCUCCGCCUCCCGGGUUCAAUCCAUUCUCCUCUCUAAGCCUCCCGCGUAGCUAAGAUUACAGGCGUCCGCCCCCGCGCCCGGCUAAUUUUUGUAUUUUUAGUAGAGACGGGGUUUCACCAUGUUGGCCAGGUAGGUCUCGAACUCCUGACCUCGUGAGCCACCCGCCUCGGCCUCGCAAAGUUCUGGGAUUACAGGCGUGAGCCACUGCGCCCGGCGUAGGCCAGUUUCUAUACUGUGGAACAUUAAGUGGACUUGUCUGCUUUUCCAAACUUUGGCGCCACUAGCAAGGUGCAGAGGCUUUGUGGUAAAGGAAGAGAAAGAAGGCAGAAAGUUGGGGAAAAAUAUGAUGGGAAUGUGUAGAAAGAAGGUCGGAAGGCAGUACAGAAGACAGUACAGAGUUGGGGGGGGGGGGAUCAUAUGUUCCCAAAGCUUAUUGGUGCAACUGGAAUCAAUCUGCACACUUCAACCUCUUGUCAAGACUGUGAUGGAGUCGGAGGUAUUUGCCCCGGUAUUUCCAAUCUGUGGUUGGUUGAAUCUGUGGACAUGGAACC